ACUGAAACGUCAAGCGAAAUGUUUUAUCUUCAGUAAGUUUCUGACGCUUUUACGAUGGAAAUCGUUCGUAUUUCACGUUCGAUUGGCCUGGUUUUACCGAGAGAGGCUCCAAGCAAGCGUGUACUGGCAUUGUAACGAGUCUUAAGUGCGGUCUUUGUAGCUCCAUUAACGUCUCCGGCAAGUUUCGCAUGACACUCUCUCAUUCACUCGAUUACUGAACGCGAAGCAUAAACGGGGCCGUUGCUGGAAACUGCUGCCACCGGGAACGACAAUUCAGACAAUUAAUGCAGCUUUGCCGUGUUUUUUGCAAAAGUAUGCAGAAGGUUUUCUUGCUAGGAGCAAGACACGCGUCCGUGCAGUGCCUCGGCACGAGAUGAACGAUAUAUGGCUACAGGCUGAAUCAAUACCACGGGCCAAUAGCAAAAAUCGUAUUAAUUGAACGUAAUAAUCGCAA
RNAcentral lists this unclassified non-coding RNA (454 nucleotides) under Bombus terrestris (buff-tailed bumblebee). RNAcentral describes it as "misc RNA ENSBTSG00005029928.1". Lineage: Eukaryota; Metazoa; Arthropoda; Insecta; Hymenoptera; Apidae. The record is from RNAcentral.